RNAcentral lists this ribosomal RNA (397 nucleotides) under uncultured bacterium. RNAcentral describes it as "partial 16S ribosomal RNA". It matches the Rfam family "Bacterial small subunit ribosomal RNA", at positions 523 to 918 of the family's 1533-position model. The record is from RNAcentral.
AUACGUAGGUGGCAAGCGUUGUCCGGAAUUAUUGGGCGUAAAGCGCGCGCAGGUGGUUCCUUAAGUCUGAUGUGAAAGCCCCCGGCUCAACCGGGGAGGGUCAUGGGAAACUGGGGCACUUGAGUGCAGAAGAGGAUAGUGGAAUUCCAAGUGUAGCGGUGAAAUGCGGAGCGAUUUGGAGGAACACCAGUGGCGAAGGCGACUGGAUGGGCUGUAACUGACACUGAGGCGCGAAAGCGUGGGGAGCAAACAGGAUUAGAUACCCUGGUAGUCCACGCCGUAAACGAUGAGUGCUAAGUGUUGGGGGGUUUCCGCCCCUCAGUGCUGCAGCUAACGCAUUAAGCACUCCGCCUGGGGAGUACGGUCGCAAGACUGAAACUCAAAGGAAUUGACGGGG